GACGAACGCUGGCGGCGUGCUUAACACAUGCAAGUCGAGCGGAAAGGCCCUUCGGGGUACUCGAGCGGCGAACGGGUGAGUAACACGUGAGUAACCUGCUCCCGACUUUGGGAUAACCCCCGGCAACGGGGGCUAAUACCGGAGACGACGCAGCGUCGCAUGGGGUCUGUGUGGAAAGUUUGUCGGGUUGGGAUGGGCUCGCGGCCUAUCAGCUUGUUGGUGGGGGGAUGGCAUACCAAGGCGACGACGGGUAGCCGGCCUGUGAGGGCGACCGGCCACACUGGGCCUGGGGCACGGCCCAGACUCCUACGGGAGGCAGCAGUGGGGAAUAUUGCACAAUGGGCGGAAGGCGGAUGCAGCGACGCCGCGUGAGGGAUGACGGCCUUCUGGUUGUAAACCUCUUUCGGCAGGGACGAGGCGUAAGUGACGGUACCUGCAGAAGAAGCGCCGGCCAACUACGU
Molecule: ribosomal RNA, 461 nt
Filed under: uncultured bacterium
Lineage: Bacteria
Description: partial 16S ribosomal RNA
Rfam family: Bacterial small subunit ribosomal RNA
Source: RNAcentral